This 757-nucleotide long non-coding RNA is filed under the name Panax ginseng (ginseng). RNAcentral's name for it is "long non-coding RNA (PGIN_LNC017753)". The record is from RNAcentral. Lineage: Eukaryota; Viridiplantae; Streptophyta; Magnoliopsida; Apiales; Araliaceae.
UACUUCUUCCUUUUAUAUCAUGAUUCACGAGAUCCCCCUUCUUUCCCUUUCAGUUUAUUUAGGCUUUACAUCUCUCUUCAUAUACUCAUCUCCCACCUUUCUUCUUCCCCUCUUAUAGUACAAAAUCCUUGAAAUACGGAUAAGAAUUCGGAAGAAAUCCUCAAGGAUACGACGCAAAAUCGAAGUAUCCUUCAAGCUUAUACGCAACCCAUUCAUUCGAUACGACGCGUCGACGUCGUCCAUUUGUGUACUGUCGAAAAAAUAGAGUAUUGUUUGGAAGAUGAAGAAGGAUCGAAAAGAAUGGAGUCUAUUGAAUGAUUGAAUCCAUGAGUCGGUUUGUAUUGUUCUGAUUUUCUUUACACUCGUGGGUUUCUACCCCUUUUAUUGGUUUCCCUUUGGAUCUGAUGUGAAGGUGUUUAUUAUGGGUGGGUAGUUAUUUUAUUUGGUUAAAACUGGACUAAUUUGUUUGGUGCAGGGAGUUGGUAUGAUUUGAUUCCGACAAGUAUGGUGGUCUGGUUUGCCGGAGAUGAUUACCGUUGUUGUCACUGGGCGUGUGCUAAUGUUGAUGAUGGGUUGAUGGUGUGCUGAUGUUGAUGAUGGAUUGAUGAUGGGCUGAGUGUCAUUUGGGUUAUUCAAAUUCUGUUAUUUCAAGUUGGGCUGUUAUUUUAAGUUAGGCAGAGAUGUUUGCUGACUAAUUUGUUUUGUUUUGUUCGGCUUUCAUGUGGGCUGGAUUUUAGUUAGCUGGUGUAGUUCGGUU